CGGAGGGUGCAAGCGUUAUCCGGAAUCAUUGGGUUUAAAGGGUCCGCAGGCGGACUUAUAAGUCAGUGGUGAAAGCCUACAGCUUAACUGUAGAACUGCCAUUGAUACUGUAAGUCUUGAAUUCGGUCGAAGUGGGCGGAAUAUGACAUGUAGCGGUGAAAUGCUUAGAUAUGUCAUAGAACACCGAUAGCGAAGGCAGCUCACUAGGCCUGGAUUGACGCUCAUGGACGAAAGCGUGGGGAGCAAACAGGAUUAGAUACCCUGGUAAUCCACGCCGUAAACUAUCAAUACUCGUUCUCGGCGAUAUACAGUCGGGGACUAAGCGAAAGUGAUAAGUAUUGCACCUGGGGAGUACGAUCGCAAGGUUG
This 368-nucleotide ribosomal RNA is filed under the name uncultured organism. RNAcentral's name for it is "bacterial SSU rRNA". It matches the Rfam family "Bacterial small subunit ribosomal RNA", at positions 526 to 896 of the family's 1533-position model. The record is from RNAcentral.